This 433-nucleotide ribosomal RNA is filed under the name uncultured bacterium. RNAcentral's name for it is "partial 16S ribosomal RNA". It matches the Rfam family "Bacterial small subunit ribosomal RNA", at positions 29 to 507 of the family's 1533-position model. The record is from RNAcentral.
AACGAACGCUGGCGGCAGGCCUAACACAUGCAAGUCGAGCGGACCCUUCCGUUUUAGCGGCGGCCGGUUGAGUAACGCUUGGUAAUAUGCCCUUCUCUACGGAAUAGUCCUGGGUAACUGGGGGUAAUACCGUAUACUCCCUCUGGUGGUCAGAUUUUUCGGGGAAGGAUUAGCCCGCGUUGGAUUAGGUAGUUGGUUUUGUAAUGGCCUAUCACGCCUACGAUCCAUAGAUGGUUUGAGAGGAAGAGCAGCCACACUGGGACUAAGAAACGGCGCAGACUCCUACGGGAGGCAGCAGUGGGGAAUCUUAGAAAAUGGGGGGAACCCAGAAGGAGCCAGGCCGGGAGAGUGAUGAAGGACUGAGGGAAGAAAAGCUGGUUCAGAUGGGAAGAUAAUGACGGUACCAGAAGAAGAAGCACCGGCUAACUACGUG